AAAAACACGGGCAUUUCGGAGCAUUUAGAGCAGGCAGAGGAUGGAGUCCCCGGAGCUGGAGCUGCACCCACCGGGUUUCCUGCAGAAGUGGCCCAUUUGUUCAACAGUCCUGCACAGCUCCACGCGGCGUUUUCGAGCGAGCCUGGCACGGCGUGAGCAGAUCUAAGGCAGCCAUGGAGCGGAUUUAUUUCGCUUUAAUUUUACCUGCCCCUGAAGAGCAUAGGUUCCUGCAGGAACCUGGAGGAGCGUCCAGACUGGUCACGCUUGGCUGGGAAUUUAAGCUAUGCAAAGAUUAAAAACCAAAAAG
Long non-coding RNA from Cygnus atratus (black swan), 307 nucleotides. RefSeq lists it as uncharacterized. The transcript is spliced from 3 exons. Lineage: Eukaryota; Metazoa; Chordata; Aves; Anseriformes; Anatidae. The record is from RefSeq and is a predicted model, not a curated record.